UGCCAGCAGCCGCGGUAGUACGGAGGGUGCAAGCGUUAAUCGGAAUUACUGGGCGUAAAGCGCGCGUAGGUGGUUUGAUAAGUGGGAUGUGAAAGCCACGGGCUCAACCCGGGAACUGCAUUCAAAACUGUCAAGCUAGAGUAUGGUAGAGGGAGGUAGAAUUUCCUGUGUAGCGGUGAAAUGCGUAGAUAUAGGAAGGAAUACCGGUGGCGAAGUCGGCCUCCUGGACCAAUACUGACACGAGGUGCGAAAGCGUGGGGAGCAAACAGGAUUAGAUA
Molecule: ribosomal RNA, 278 nt
Filed under: uncultured bacterium
Lineage: Bacteria
Description: partial 16S ribosomal RNA
Rfam family: Bacterial small subunit ribosomal RNA
Source: RNAcentral